UUGUGUAGAAAAGGCUAAAUUUGUGAUACUCUUACAUUCUAGCCUUCUAAACAAUAAUUAUGGAAUAUAUAUGGUCUUUAUUUGCCUUUUUUGCUGGAUAUGUUGUUUUUGAAUUAUAUGAGUUCAAUAAUAGAUUUAAGUUACACGAGCACAAUUUCAACGAACUCCAAAGCCAAGGGAACAUUUUGAAAAAUGAAAAUGAAGUAUUACGACUGGAAAUAAACCGCUUGCAACAUCAACUGUAGCUAAACAAAGUUAAAACUGGAAUUCUAAAUACUGAUUUAAAGAGCAGGGAUGAUUUUUUGAAGGACAUCGACAAAGGAGCAAGAUUAUUCCAUGAAGAGUUAAAGAACACAGUGAAACAAAUGGACAAAUUUGUAGAGCAAGUGAAAAUUAUGGACAAACAAAUAGAGGAUAUGAGUAGAGAAUUCAAAUUUGUGUACAGGGAACUUAAUAUUUUAGGCAGGGCGACAAAUAUCAACAGAGACCACGGAUGCACGCGCAGUGAUUACAAGGGCGGCAGUGAUGUACUAAACACUAUCAAGAGUGGUGUUGACUUCAUCAUUAGAAAACUUGUUGAAUAUGUUUCAGUAGGAUUAACAUCUAUACUUUUGCUCGAGUGAAGAGAAUAUAUAUGAGUGAAAAAAAUAUACUUAACAAACGUAAGAGCAUUCAAUGAUAAAAGAUAUUGGAAAAUAUCAAACUUUAAAGCCAAAAUAUUUGGUUAUUUUUCUUAAAUAACAGUUUAUGGCCUAAAAUAUAUCUAAAAUUUUUGACGCAGAUCUGUUUAGAUCGGGUAAUUUGUUGAUCACCCAGCUUUAUUAUGUUUCAAAUUUUAAAAAUUGAAAAUUUUAAAAGAAUUUAUACUCUCUAAAAUAUUGAUUUUCAAUGUUUUAAAAUUGUCUCUAGUCAGGUUUUAAUAGAUUAUUAUCAGACUUUUAUUGCAAGAGUUAAUUUCAUGCAUCAUGCUAUAUAAAAUGUUUAGUUUUCUUUUUAAAGCCAUCUUCUUCUCUUAUUUUUCAUCUUUUCCUCCUUUUACUGACUCAAAAUAUGAUGACGCACCUUUAUUUUCCGACGAUUGUUACACAAAGUUCUUCAAAGUUGUCCCGUUUGCCAUUGAUUGCUGUAUAAGUAAUAAAAUCAUGUCAAUA
Magallana angulata is the source of this 1151-nucleotide long non-coding RNA. RefSeq lists it as uncharacterized. The record is from RefSeq and is a predicted model, not a curated record. The transcript has 2 exons. Lineage: Eukaryota; Metazoa; Mollusca; Bivalvia; Ostreida; Ostreidae.